AACGGCCGUACCAUGCAGAAUAUACCGGUUCUCGUUAGAUCACCGAAGUCAAGCAUCAUUGGGCGCGGUCAGUACUUGGGUGGGUGACCACCUUGGAACGCCGCGUGCCGUU
Molecule: ribosomal RNA, 112 nt
Filed under: Caerostris darwini
Lineage: Eukaryota; Metazoa; Arthropoda; Arachnida; Araneae; Araneidae
Source: RNAcentral